ACAACAAUUAAUUAAUCCAAUUAAUUAUUUCCAUCAUCCAUUAGUUACUCACUACAAUAGUGUUGUGGUGAACAAUCUUUUAGGUUCUAAUUAGCAAGGCAGUGAGGUGAUUCGCAUCAAUCCAAUUGCUUAUAUUUAAUUCAAUCACUUAGUGAAUUAAAACCUUAUUUUAAUUCACCUUUCUUCUUUGAUGACUACAUUUAAUCAUCUAGAAGAACUCACAAGCUAUGAGUGAC
RNAcentral lists this long non-coding RNA (236 nucleotides) under Malus domestica (apple). Its description in RNAcentral is "long non-coding RNA (MDOM_LNC008423)". Lineage: Eukaryota; Viridiplantae; Streptophyta; Magnoliopsida; Rosales; Rosaceae. The record is from RNAcentral.